GGGCUCAUAACCCGAAGGUCGUAGGUUCAAAUCCUGCCCCCGCAACCA
RNAcentral lists this transfer RNA (48 nucleotides) under Bordetella bronchiseptica SBL-F6116. RNAcentral describes it as "tRNA-Met". It matches the Rfam family "tRNA", at positions 28 to 71 of the family's 71-position model. Rfam says of the family: Transfer RNA (tRNA) molecules are approximately 80 nucleotides in length. Their secondary structure includes four short double-helical elements and three loops (D, anti-codon, and T loops). Further hydrogen bonds mediate the characteristic L-shaped molecular structure. tRNAs have two regions of fundamental functional importance: the anti-codon, which is responsible for specific mRNA codon recognition, and the 3' end, to which the tRNAs corresponding amino acid is attached (by aminoacyl-tRNA synthetases). tRNAs cope with the degeneracy of the genetic code in two manners: having more than one tRNA (with a specific anti-codon) for a particular amino acid; and 'wobble' base-pairing, i.e. permitting non-standard base-pairing at the 3rd anti-codon position. The record is from RNAcentral. Lineage: Bacteria; Pseudomonadati; Pseudomonadota; Betaproteobacteria; Burkholderiales; Alcaligenaceae.